RNAcentral lists this transfer RNA (98 nucleotides) under Streptomyces fradiae. Its description in RNAcentral is "tRNA-OTHER". Lineage: Bacteria; Bacillati; Actinomycetota; Actinomycetes; Kitasatosporales; Streptomycetaceae. The record is from RNAcentral.
GGAUGGCCGGGGACCUCGGGCGCCGCCUGCGGCUGUCGCACCCCGUCCUCCGGGUGACGUCGGAGGGGCCGGGCGGUUCGGCGCCGCUGGCCGUCCAC